GAUGAACGCUGGCGGCGUGCCUAAUACAUGCAAGUCGAGCGAACGGACGAGAAGCUUGCUUCUCUGAUGUUAGCGGCGGACGGGUGAGUAACACGUGGAUAACCUACCUAUCAGACUGGGAUAACUUCGGGAAACCGGCGCUAAUACCGGAUGAUAUUUUGAACCGCAUGGUUCAAAGGUGAAAGACGGUCUUGCUGUCACUUAUAGAUGGAUCCGCGCUGCAUUAGCUAGUUGUUAAGGUAACGGCUUACCAUGGCAACGAUGCAUAGCCGACCUGAGAGGGUGAUCGGCCACACUGGAACUGAGACACGGUCCAGACUCCUACGGGAGGCAGCAGUAGGGAAUCUUCCGCAAUGGGCGAAAGCCUGACGGAGCAACGCCGCGUGAGUGAUGAAGGUCUUCGGAUCGUAAAACUCUGUUAUGAGGGAUGAACAUAUGUGUAAGUAAAUGUGCACAUCGUGACGGUACCUAAUAAGAAAGCAACGGCUAACUACGUG
RNAcentral lists this ribosomal RNA (497 nucleotides) under uncultured bacterium. Its description in RNAcentral is "partial 16S ribosomal RNA". It matches the Rfam family "Bacterial small subunit ribosomal RNA", at positions 28 to 507 of the family's 1533-position model. The record is from RNAcentral.